AGCGGCGGACGGGUGAGUAACGCGUGGGAAUAUGCCCUUCUCUAAGGAAUAGCCUCUGGAAACGGAGAGUAAUACCUUAUACGCCCUUCGGGGGAAAGAUUUAUCGGAGAAGGAUUAGCCCGCGUUAGAUUAGGUAGUUGGUGGGGUAAUGGCCUACCAAGCCUACGAUCUAUAGCUGGUUUGAGAGGAUGAUCAGCCACACUGGGACUGAGACACGGCCCAGACUCCUACGGGAGGCAGCAGUAGGGAAUCUUAGACAAUGGGGGAAACCCUGAUCUAGCCAUGCCGCGUGUGUGAUGAAGGCCUUAGGGUCGUAAAGCACUUUCGCCAGAGAUGAUAAUGACAGUAUCUGGUAAAGAAACCCCGGCUAACUCCGUGCCAGCAGCCGCGGUAAUACGGAGGGGGUUAGCGUUGUUCGGAAUUACUGGGCGUAAAGCGCACGUAGGCGGAUUAGUAAGUUAGAGGUGAAAUCCCAGGGCUCAACCCUG
Molecule: ribosomal RNA, 488 nt
Filed under: uncultured bacterium
Lineage: Bacteria
Description: bacterial SSU rRNA
Rfam family: Bacterial small subunit ribosomal RNA
Source: RNAcentral